RNAcentral lists this ribosomal RNA (208 nucleotides) under uncultured bacterium. RNAcentral's name for it is "partial 16S ribosomal RNA". It matches the Rfam family "Bacterial small subunit ribosomal RNA", at positions 568 to 774 of the family's 1533-position model. The record is from RNAcentral.
CACGUAGGCGGGUCGUUAAGUCAGGGGUGAAAUCCCGGAGCUCAACUCCGGAACUGCCUUUGAUACUGGCGACCUUGAGGCUGGAAGAGGUUAGUGGAAUUCCCAGUGUAGAGGUGAAAUUCGUAGAUAUUGGGAAGAACACCAGUGGCGAAGGCGGCUAACUGGUCCAGAUCUGACGCUGAGGUGCGAAAGCGUGGGGAAGCAAACA